GAAAAGUUCAAUAAAUCAAUUUUACACUUAUCUCCAUAGCUGAGCUCUGAAUUCAAAAAUGGAAAACAAAAGCCUCUUGGUCUCUCUGUAGCUCUUCUGUUUCCUUUUUUUCCUGCAUCAUUUUCCUCAUCGGAACCCUAAAUCGCCAUUGAUCUCCGGUGAUUUUCUUGUCCGCUUCUUUUCGCCUUCCGAAAUCAAAAUUUCCACAUUGUUUGGUAUUUGAUUUGACUGAAAAUGGUGGCUCAGUCCUUGCACUCUGUUGAUAACGGGAAGCUUGGUUCCCGAGUUAAUAGAGAAAAGAAGAGUCCCAAAGGGAACGUAGAGGUGGUGGUUUCUUCUCAAAGGAGAGUAAGUGCGAGGAUUCAGGCGACGAAGCAGAGAGCAGAGAAGAAGGAAUUGGUGAGGAAAAGAGUAGAAUUGUUGGAUGAUAAUGAGGGAGGAAGUAAGAAGAGGAACAUUAGAAGAAUGGUAAAUGUGGAGAAUGCGAGCGAAGAGGUUGUUGUGGAUAAGAAGGUGAGUGAUGUUUUUGGGUCUAGUGAAUUGGUAAAGUCUGCGGGAGAAGUACUGAAAGCUAAUAUUGGUGGGCAAAAUGGGGUUGUGGGUAAUGAGGGUGUUGGAGGUGGUACCACAGAGAAAAGCGUAUUUGCUAGGGUUAAGGAAACUCUGAGGUUAUUUAACAAGCAUUAUCUGCAUUUUGUCCAGGAAGAGGAGAAGAGGUGCCAAAAAGAAGUUGAUAAAAAGGUUUCCAAAAGUUCAAAAUCAAAGAAAGGAAUUGCAAUUGAAGCUGAUGCUAAGAAAAAGGCCAAGCGUCCUGAUUUAAAGGCAGUAUCUAAGAUGAUCGAGACUAAUGCUGUAAUGUACCCGGGGAAAAGAAUUGGUGACCUUUCAGGUAUCAAUGUUGGACAUCAAUUUUAUUCAAGGGCUGAAAUGGUUGCUGUUGGUUUCCAUAGCCAUUGGCUGAAUGGGAUUGAUUACAUGGGCAUGUCCUACAGCAAGGUUGUAAUCUUUUUAUUAUGUCUAUAAUCAUUGAUAUUGUGAUCAUUAUCAUUAUUUUAUUAGGAUAUCUUAAAAAUGAAUAUAUUGGCAAGUCUUAUGGUGUUACUUUGACAUGUGACAUUGUAAUUUGGUGAUUUGCAAAAUUCCUCUUGAUGUUUGGUAAAAUGCAUUUGUUAGUCCCUUAUUUUCUAAAACCUCAGGAUGGCUUCUUGAAGUAUAAUUUUAUUAACAAUAUACUUCCCAUUUGAGAAGCACUUAUUUAACUGUUAAACGGAUGAAACUAGUCUCUAAAAAUUUAAUUGGAAUGAAAGAAAUUCAGAAUUUCAACUAAGCCACCAUAAAUUCAGAAUUUCAUACAAAAUAGUCAUAUACUUUCUUUGUUAGGGUAAAAUCAAAUGCGCUGAAACUUAGGAAUUAGCAACAUCCAACAUAACAUAAAGAGCCACUGUGGGAGGGACUGAAUUGGUUCAAUUCCUGUCACUAACAAAAGGAAAAGGAAGUUGGGCAUGAUGGUGAGCCACUAGAUUUCCUUCUAUUUGCACAAAUUAGAAAUGCAUUGAAUACAGCUGAGUACUAAGAAUGCAAAUGUCCUCCAACACUAAAAAUCGUGUCCAUGAGUAUGUAUAUAAAAGAGUUUACACCCAUCAACCAUCUCAUUAUCCACAAAUCAGUGUAUAUUCAACCUUCUAAUCACAUUUUUAGCCCAUUUUGUCGUCACGGAUAAGCAUAAAAAAUUCUUCAAUCAAUCUAGCAAAAACUUGAUUCUGAUAGAGUUAGGAAUCCCAACAGUAAAAAAAAAAAUUAUAAAUAACCAGCAAUAUGAAUCAAACAGAGAGAGAUGGGAUGGAAUGAAUCAUGCUGCAAUUUUUUAUAGAAUAGAAUAAGGAGACAAGAGACUAAUACAAGGCAACAACAUUUUGAUAUAAGGAAACAGUCGAAGAGAAACUUCCCUACGGGGCUAGAUGCUCUGCCCCAAGCUACUCAGCUAGAGAAUAAAAAUGUUUUUCCCAUGUCCCUUUUCAUUCCCUCGAAUACUUAUUUAUACUAUUUCUUGUAUUGCAGCUUCACAACAACCAGCUUUUUACGCUUCACCUUUAAUUAGUUGCAUAACAGAAUUCUGACCCCUUUCCUUUUCUGCCCCUCCUGGAAUUUUCUUGUACCUCCUGGAAUGCACGCGCCAGCCUUGAGGUUUUGGUUCCUUUCCUCUUUCUGCUUCCCCAUUUGUUAUCAUGUGCCUAUCAUUGCCACCCUAAGAAAGAGCAGUCUUGUCCUCAAGACUGAAAGUGGGGAAUUGGCCACUUAUGUUACUAGAAUCCAUCCAAGUUGCUUCAUCAAUAGAUUUCCCUUGCCACUGAAUGAGGACCUGAGAAACAUGCUUUCCAUUUCGCCAAAUAUUGUGUCGGUCAAUCACAGCUUGAGGAAAAACCAUUGCAGAAUCAUCGACAACUAAUUCAGGAGGCAAGGUAGCCAUGACAGGAUGGUCACCAACUUUUUUCUUCAACUGAGAGACAUGAAAUACAGGGUGGAUUUUGGAAGUGCAGGGAAGAACAAGGCGAUAAGCAGCAGGACCUAUUUUAGCUGCAAUGAAAAAGGGCCCAUAAUAUCUUGCAGCCAGCUUUUGAUUAGUACGAGAAGCUACUGAUAGUUGCCGAUAAGCUUGUAAUUGGAGAAAAACUUUAUCACGCACUUGGAAUUCGAUAUGCCUAUGGUGUUUAUUAUGUUGAAGGACCAUUUGUUGCUGAGCUUGUUGGAGAUUACUUUGGAGUUGGGAUAACAUGGCAUCUUGAUCUUGCAUGGCUUGAGCAAUAGCCUCAACACGAAUUUCCCCUAGUAAAAAUUUCAAAAGAGAGGGAGGGGUCUGCCAUAGACAAUUUCAAAAGGAGAAUGUUAGGUAGCACCAUGAUAACUGGGAUUAUACCAGUAUUCAGCCCACGGAAUCCAUUGAUACCAAGUUUGUGGUUGUUCAGAAGCAAAACAUUGUAAAUACUGCUCCAAACUUCUAUUGACGACUUCGGUUUGACCAUCUGUUUGAGGAUGGUAGGCAGAACUUAAUUUUAACUGAGUGCCCAUGCUUCGGAAGAUCUCAGUCCAGAAAUUACUGAUAAAAAUUGGAUCUCUAUCGCUGAGAAUAGAAGUAGGAAUACCAUGAAGGCGAACAAUCUCCCGUAUGAAUUAAUCAGGCACUCCACGAGCUGUGUAAGGGUGUUUAAGCAACAAAAAAUGGGCAUAUUUGGAUAAGCGGUCCACCACAAGAAUGGAAUCUAUGCCUUGAUACUUAGGAAGCCCAAUGAUAAAAUCAAGAGAAAUGCCCUCCCACACAUUUUUUGAAAUCGGUAGUGGUUGUAGAAAGCCAACAGGGGCAAGAGAUUCAUACUUAUUUUUUUGGCAUACCAAGCAAGAAGCCACAAAAUGCUAGAUGGAUUUCAUCAUACCCUGCCAAUAAAGGCUGGAAGCCAAGCGACGGUAAGUGAGUAGAGCACUAGAAUGACUGCCCGUUGGAGUGGAUUGAAAUUCAGAAAUCAAGCGAGAGACCCAAGGAGAUGAUGCCAGCAAUACCAGGUGGCCCUUGUAAAAUAAAUGGCCUUGAAUGAGAGUAAAUGGUUGAUGAGAACUCGAAUCAGAAGUAAGAUUCGAGAUAAUUGCUCGAAGAGAAGGGUCAUUAUGGACAGCAUCCUUAAUUUCAUCCAAAUCCAGCCAUUAAGGAUGACUAAGUGCAUGUAAUUGGAGUUUCUCUUCAUGAUGGCAUUGGGACAGUGCGUCUGCAGCGUGAUUGUUGCGCCUAGGUUUGUAGUGAAUAACAAAAGAAUAUCACAAUAACUUGGAAAUCCAAACUUGUUGGGCUGGAGUGACAAUUCGUUGUUCCAACAAAUGCUUGAGGCUACGUUGAUCCGUGUGGACAACAAAUUGACAUCCUAGGAGAUAUGGGUGCCAAUGAUGUAUUGCCAUAACCAAGGCCAUUAAUUCCUUCUCAUAAGUGGAAUUUGAGAGUCUUCGAGGAAAGGGCCUUGCUAAACUAAGCAAUUGGUUUGCUUUCUUGCAUCAAGACAGCACCCACUCCUUUGCCAGAUGCAUCACACUCAAUUACAAAGGGCAACUGGAAAUUUGGCAUAGAUAAGACAGGAGCAGAGACAAUUGCUUGUUUCAUUUGUUCACAAGCAGAAUGUGCGGAAGACGUUCACUGAAAUUGGAUGUGGGCAUCUUUAGUGGUAAGAGCUAUUAGAGGUUGAGCAAUAAGGCCAUAAUGAUUGAUGAAACGACAAUAACAGCCCGUUAAUCCGAGGAACCCCCGAACACCUUUAACUUACUUAGGAAUAGGCCACUGCAACACAGCGAAAAUCUUCGAAGGAUCCAUGGCAACACCCUUUUGAGAGAUAAUGUGCCCCAAAUAAUCAAUUGAGGAAUGCCCAAAUGAACACUUUGUUUUCAUUGGCAGUAAAAUGAUGUUGUUGUAGUGUUGUUAAAAUCAGCUCCAAAUGUUGAAGAUGCUCGUGCCAAGUUUUACUAUACCAAAAUAUCAUCAAAAAACACCAAGACAAAGUGGCAGAGAUAGGGUCUGAAAAUAUCGUUCAUUGUAGCCUGAAAGGUAGCAGGCGCAUUGGUUAAGUAGAACGGCAUUACCAAAAACUCGUAAUGGCCUGAAUGUGUGCGGAACGCUGUUUUUGGAAUAUCGGCCUCAAUGACCCGAAUUUUUUCUUAUGUCCCUUUUCAUUCCCUCAAAUACUUAUUUGUACUAUUUCUUGUAUUGCAGCUUCACAACAACCAGCUUUUUACGCUUCACCUUUAAUUAGUUGCAUAACAGAAUUCUGACCCCUUUCCUUUUCUGCCCCUCCUGGAAUUUUCUUGUACCUCCUGGAAUGCACGCGCCAGCCUUGAGGUUUUGGUUCCUUUCCUCUUUCUGCUUCCCCAUUUGUUAUCAUGUGCCUAUCAUUGCCACCCUAAGAAAGAGCAGUCUUGUCCUCAAGACUGAAAGUGGGGAAUUGGCCACUUAUGUUACUAGAAUCCAUCCAAGUUGCUUCAUCAAUAGAUUUCCCUUGCCACUGAAUGAGGACCUGAGAAACAUGCUUUCCAUUUCGCCAAAUAUUGUGUCGGUCAAUCACAGCUUGAGGAAAAACCAUUGCAGAAUCAUCGACAACUAAUUCAGGAGGCAAGGUAGCCAUGACAGGAUGGUCACCAACUUUUUUCUUCAACUGAGAGACAUGAAAUACAGGGUGGAUUUUGGAAGUGCAGGGAAGAACAAGGCGAUAAGCAGCAGGACCUAUUUUAGCUGCAAUGAAAAAGGGCCCAUAAUAUCUUGCAGCCAGCUUUUGAUUAGUACGAGAAGCUACUGAUAGUUGCCGAUAAGCUUGUAAUUGGAGAAAAACUUUAUCACGCACUUGGAAUUCGAUAUGCCUAUGGUGUUUAUUAUGUUGAAGGACCAUUUGUUGCUGAGCUUGUUGGAGAUUACUUUGGAGUUGGGAUAACAUGGCAUCUUGAUCUUGCAUGGCUUGAGCAAUAGCCUCAACACGAAUUUCCCCUAGUAAAAAUUUCAAAAGAGAGGGAGGGGUCUGCCAUAGACAAUUUCAAAAGGAGAAUGUUAGGUAGCACCAUGAUAACUGGGAUUAUACCAGUAUUCAGCCCACGGAAUCCAUUGAUACCAAGUUUGUGGUUGUUCAGAAGCAAAACAUUGUAAAUACUGCUCCAAACUUCUAUUGACGACUUCGGUUUGACCAUCUGUUUGAGGAUGGUAGGCAGAACUUAAUUUUAACUGAGUGCCCAUGCUUCGGAAGAUCUCAGUCCAGAAAUUACUGAUAAAAAUUGGAUCUCUAUCGCUGAGAAUAGAAGUAGGAAUACCAUGAAGGCGAACAAUCUCCCGUAUGAAUUAAUCAGGCACUCCACGAGCUGUGUAAGGGUGUUUAAGCAACAAAAAAUGGGCAUAUUUGGAUAAGCGGUCCACCACAAGAAUGGAAUCUAUGCCUUGAUACUUAGGAAGCCCAAUGAUAAAAUCAAGAGAAAUGCCCUCCCACACAUUUUUUGAAAUCGGUAGUGGUUGUAGAAAGCCAACAGGGGCAAGAGAUUCAUACUUAUUUUUUUGGCAUACCAAGCAAGAAGCCACAAAAUGCUAGAUGGAUUUCAUCAUACCCUGCCAAUAAAGGCUGGAAGCCAAGCGACGGUAAGUGAGUAGAGCACUAGAAUGACUGCCCGUUGGAGUGGAUUGAAAUUCAGAAAUCAAGCGAGAGACCCAAGGAGAUGAUGCCAGCAAUACCAGGUGGCCCUUGUAAAAUAAAUGGCCUUGAAUGAGAGUAAAUGGUUGAUGAGAACUCGAAUCAGAAGUAAGAUUCGAGAUAAUUGCUCGAAGAGAAGGGUCAUUAUGGACAGCAUCCUUAAUUUCAUCCAAAUCCAGCCAUUAAGGAUGACUAAGUGCAUGUAAUUGGAGUUUCUCUUCAUGAUGGCAUUGGGACAGUGCGUCUGCAGCGUGAUUGUUGCGCCUAGGUUUGUAGUGAAUAACAAAAGAAUAUCACAAUAACUUGGAAAUCCAAACUUGUUGGGCUGGAGUGACAAUUCGUUGUUCCAACAAAUGCUUGAGGCUACGUUGAUCCGUGUGGACAACAAAUUGACAUCCUAGGAGAUAUGGGUGCCAAUGAUGUAUUGCCAUAACCAAGGCCAUUAAUUCCUUCUCAUAAGUGGAAUUUGAGAGUCUUCGAGGAAAGGGCCUUGCUAAACUAAGCAAUUGGUUUGCUUUCUUGCAUCAAGACAGCACCCACUCCUUUGCCAGAUGCAUCACACUCAAUUACAAAGGGCAACUGGAAAUUUGGCAUAGAUAAGACAGGAGCAGAGACAAUUGCUUGUUUCAUUUGUUCACAAGCAGAAUGUGCGGAAGACGUUCACUGAAAUUGGAUGUGGGCAUCUUUAGUGGUAAGAGCUAUUAGAGGUUGAGCAAUAAGGCCAUAAUGAUUGAUGAAACGACAAUAACAGCCCGUUAAUCCGAGGAACCCCCGAACACCUUUAACUUACUUAGGAAUAGGCCACUGCAACACAGCGAAAAUCUUCGAAGGAUCCAUGGCAACACCCUUUUGAGAGAUAAUGUGCCCCAAAUAAUCAAUUGAGGAAUGCCCAAAUGAACACUUUGUUUUCAUUGGCAGUAAAAUGAUGUUGUUGUAGUGUUGUUAAAAUCAGCUCCAAAUGUUGAAGAUGCUCGUGCCAAGUUUUACUAUACCAAAAUAUCAUCAAAAAACACCAAGACAAAGUGGCAGAGAUAGGGUCUGAAAAUAUCGUUCAUUGUAGCCUGAAAGGUAGCAGGCGCAUUGGUUAAGUAGAACGGCAUUACCAAAAACUCGUAAUGGCCUGAAUGUGUGCGGAACGCUGUUUUUGGAAUAUCGGCCUCAAUGACCCGAAUUUUUUCUUAUGUCCCUUUUCAUUCCCUCAAAUACUUAUUUG
RNAcentral lists this unclassified non-coding RNA (7410 nucleotides) under Hevea brasiliensis (rubber tree). The record is from RNAcentral. Lineage: Eukaryota; Viridiplantae; Streptophyta; Magnoliopsida; Malpighiales; Euphorbiaceae.